GCCUGGGUGGCUCAGUUGGUUGAGCAUCUGACUUUGGCUCAGGUCAUGAUCUCACGAUUUGUGAGUUCGAGCCCCACAUCUUGCU
RNAcentral lists this transfer RNA (85 nucleotides) under Felis catus (domestic cat). It matches the Rfam family "tRNA". Rfam says of the family: Transfer RNA (tRNA) molecules are approximately 80 nucleotides in length. RNAcentral also lists the same sequence under 1 other name. Lineage: Eukaryota; Metazoa; Chordata; Mammalia; Carnivora; Felidae. The record is from Rfam by way of RNAcentral.